AUUGAACGCUGGCGGCAGGCCUAACACAUGCAAGUCGCGCGGAUGAAGGGAGCUUGCUCCUGGAUUCAGCGGCGGACUGGUUAGUAAUGCCUAGGAAUCUGCCUGUUUGUGUUUGAUAACGUCCUGAAACGGGCGCUAAUACCCCAUACGUCCUGAGGGCGUAAGUGUGGGAUCUUCGGACCUCACGCUCUCAGAUGAUCCUAUGUCGGAUUAGCUAGUUGGCGGGGUAAAGGCCUACCAAGGCGACGAUCCGUAACUGGUCUGAGAGGAUGAUCAGUCACACUGGAACUGAGACACGGUCCAGACUCCUACGGGAGGCAGCAGUGGGGAAUAUUGGACAAUGGGCGAAAGCCUGAUCCAGCCAUGCCGCGUGCGUGAAGAAGGUCUUCGGAUUGUAAAGCACUUUAAGUUGGGAGGAAGAGCAGUAAGUUAAUACCUUGCUGUUUUGACGGUACCAAAAGAAUAAGCACCGGCUAACUUCGUG
This 484-nucleotide ribosomal RNA is filed under the name uncultured bacterium. Its description in RNAcentral is "partial 16S ribosomal RNA". It matches the Rfam family "Bacterial small subunit ribosomal RNA", at positions 30 to 507 of the family's 1533-position model. The record is from RNAcentral.